UGGGGAAUCUUGCCCAAUGGGCGAAAGCCUGAGGCAGCAACGCCGCGUGCGGGAUGAAGGCCCUUGGGUUGUAAACCGCUUUCAGCAGGGACGAAAAUGACGGUACCUGCAGAAGAAGCCCCGGCCAACUACGUGCCAGCAGCCGCGGUAAGACGUAGGGGGCAAGCGUUGUCCGGAUUUAUUGGGCGUAAAGGGCUCGUAGGCGGCUUAGCAAGUCAGGUGUGAAACCUCCAGGCUUAACCUGGAGACGCCAUUUGAGACUGCUAUGGCUAGAGUGCGGUAGGGGACCAUGGAAUCUCCGGUGUAGCGGUGAAAUGCGCAGAUAUCGGAGGGAACACCAGUGGCGAAGGCGGUGGUCUGGGCCGUAACUGACGCUGAGGAGCGAAAGCGUGGGUAGCAAACAG
RNAcentral lists this ribosomal RNA (404 nucleotides) under uncultured bacterium. Its description in RNAcentral is "bacterial SSU rRNA". It matches the Rfam family "Bacterial small subunit ribosomal RNA", at positions 355 to 775 of the family's 1533-position model. The record is from RNAcentral.